GAUGAACGCUGGCGGCGUGCCUAAUACAUGCAAGUCGAGCGAACAGAUGAGGAGCUUGCUCCUCUGACGUUGGCGUCGGACGGGUGAGUAACACGUGGAUAACCUACCUAUAAGACCGGGAUAACUUCGGGAAACCGGAACUAAUACCUGAUAAUAUAUUGAACCGCAUGGUUCAAUAGUGAAAGACGGUUUUGCUGUCACUUAUAGAUGGAUCCGCGCCGGAUUAUCUAGUUGGUAAGGGAACGGUUUACCAAGGCAACGAUGCGUAGCCGACCUGAGAGUGUGAUCGGCCACAGUGGAACUGAGACACGGUCCAGACUCCUACGGGAGGCAGCAGUAGGGAAUCUUCCGCAAGGGGCGAAAGCCUGACGGAGCAGCGCCGCGUGAGUGAUGAAGGUCUUCGGAUCGUAAAUCUCUGUUAUUAUGGAAGAACAAAUGGGUAAGUAACUAUGCACGUCUUGACGGUACCUGAUCAGAAAGCCACGGCUAACUACGUG
RNAcentral lists this ribosomal RNA (497 nucleotides) under uncultured bacterium. RNAcentral's name for it is "partial 16S ribosomal RNA". It matches the Rfam family "Bacterial small subunit ribosomal RNA", at positions 28 to 507 of the family's 1533-position model. The record is from RNAcentral.